UACGUAGGGGGCGAGCGUUAUCCGGAAUUACUGGGCGUAAAGAGUGCGUAGGUGGCCAAGUAAGCGAGGGGUCUAAGGCUAUGGCCUAACCAUAGUUCGCCCCCCGAACUGCCUGGCUUGAGUACAGGAGGGGAAAGCGGAAUUCCUAGUGUAGCGGUGAAAUGCGUAGAUAUUAGGAGGAACACCAGUGGCGAAGGCGGCUUUCUGGACUGAAACUGACACUGAGGCACGAAAGCGUGGGUAGC
Molecule: ribosomal RNA, 245 nt
Filed under: uncultured bacterium
Lineage: Bacteria
Description: partial 16S ribosomal RNA
Rfam family: Bacterial small subunit ribosomal RNA
Source: RNAcentral